CGUAGCUCAGUUGGUAGAGCAGCUCCCUUUUAAGGAGAUGGUCGGGGGUUCAAAUCCCUCCG
This 62-nucleotide transfer RNA is filed under the name marine eukaryotic metagenome. It matches the Rfam family "tRNA", at positions 6 to 65 of the family's 71-position model. Rfam says of the family: Transfer RNA (tRNA) molecules are approximately 80 nucleotides in length. Their secondary structure includes four short double-helical elements and three loops (D, anti-codon, and T loops). The record is from RNAcentral.